CUUUCUAUUUUGUGAUCGACAGUUUUUUCGUAAAGGGGAAGGAGAGCCCAGCGUGCGCGCACGCCGAGGCCUCCUGGAGGCUUGGGAUCUUUUUUCCGGGGCUAGAGGAAGGGAGCCGGCGACGGCGGCGGCCGCGGCCGCCACCGCCGGUGCGGGCCGGCAGCUUCCGCCGCCCACAACCGCCGCGCGGGGCUGCCCGGGGGAAGCGCGCCUCCGCCCUGCAGUGUCCCCGACGCCACUACACCGGUCUCCGCGCUCUAGAACCACCUCGAGCCACCGAGUGCCGCCCUCGCGCCUCCUCGCGGCCACGGGCCGCCCCAUCCGUAGUCUCUCCUCCUCGUCCCACCACACAGCUGCGCUCGAUCACCGCCGCCGCACACGAGUGCUGUUACCUCCGCCGCCGCGACUCCUCCGGAUCGGUCCUUCCUCUAGGACCGCUCGCCUCGGAUUCAACAACGCUCUACCCUGCCCAGUCUAGACCCAAAACUAAACCCGGGCUCCCCAACCAGACAACGCACCGACAGGGGACCUCGCCCACUGCCGACAGUGCCACCGAGACCAGGAACGGGCUCCACCAACCUCCGACGACGAGGAGCGGACCCAACGACCACCUCAAACCCGGCACAAGAGAGUCGACACACUCCACAACCGCUAGGUACCGCCACGCCGAAGCUGUUGUUCCACGAUGCCACCGCCGCCACGCUCCGAAGUACCUGCACGGCGGAGUUUAGAGCCUCCACACCUCUACACACCGGUAUGUCUACUUUUAGGUCAGGCUAAAAACAGUCCGGACGCCGCUACCGUGGACACCCACGGUAAGGGGAGGAACCUCCGCAGCAGCUCAAUACAGCGGUAGAGGGAGCGAGCGAACCACACCCAUCCACAGAGGCCCGCUUUCGGAUCUAAGCCACGACCUAGCCGUGCUACCGCUGCCGCAGCUGCAGCAGGGAGGCAACCCCCGUAGCACGAACCUCUGUACUAAACCUCCAGAUACAACGCGAGGAGGCCGCUAGUGGCAGUAGGUACUAGCUAGAAGAAGCCGUGUUACAUGCCGGUGACGACCACUUAGGUUCUGCCCCGGAAGGAGACCUGCUUAGCUCAGGACGGUAGGAGAACGGAGGAGGAAAAUCCGUGUUUUCCCCCUAUUACGCAGCUGUUCCCUUCGAGCCACCCUCUACGACAAGAAGCUUCCACUGGCUGUCACCAACUCUGCGCCGCUCCAAAAUACAAAACCUGUUCGAGAAAACGAAGCAUCACCACCACAACAACCACCAACAGGAAACCUGAGCGGACCUACACUUUAAAAUGAUGCGAGCAAUAAGCGUCGCUCACUAUCAGUAGAACAUGAAUGUUUAAGAGAGAAGAUAUCUCGAUACCAUUAGUUAAACGCACAUGAGGGUUUAGGGGAAAGGAGAAGUCGGGGAGGGCGUGGGUCAUCUCCACCGCGGAGGGACGACGGGAGCGGCCGCGGAGGGACGUCGGGGGGAGAGGGAGAUUGGGGAGAGGUCGUGAGUGGGGCGUCGGAGAUGCGAGCGGCUAGAGGAGGGACCCGCGCACCGACCCGUCGGGCCGCGGGCAGCUAAGGCGGGCGCCCGCGCACCGACCCGGCGGGCUGCGGAGUCGAGGCCGCGGUUGGCAGGGCUUCGGCGUCGAGCCCGCGAUUUGCCGGGACGAGACGGAGCAGGACGGAGGGACGACGAGCGGACGGGCCCCGAGGGCGACGGAGGUAACCACGCGCGACGUCGGACGUCCUUGGGAUUGGAGGAGUCGGCGGGAGACGAACCGUCACGUGUCUAGUCGAGCUGGCGGAGGGGACGUUGGAACUGGAGUCGUUCUAAACCACGAGAAAACACCGACUUAAACAAGUGACGUCGUUUUAAUCGGGUGGCAGAAAGUCACCGCCCGCUGCCGUACAGUAGGGGGCCUAGGAGCCUGCUGGGGUCUAGAGUUCAUUCGAGCGACAUGUUCGCAGUAAGUAAAGUCUCACAACAAGAACCACGCGAUGUUCAAGUCUUCUAGGUAUUACAAACCUAAAAACUACUCUUCUCAAACUAACAAGCUCCUCUAAACAGAAUGAGGUACCGUAAUAUGUUCUAGAAGCUGGUCUAUGACGAAGAACACCGUCUAUUGUUCUUGGCUCCUUACUGAGCUGACUGUCAUCUACACCUGGUCUUGUUCCCGUCUUAGUUCAAAUGAACAUGACCUUGUUUAUAGGGAUACCCCGGGCUCCGUCACAACGUUAAAUGGCUUAUAUCAGGCUGUUACCUCAAGUUGCCUCACAAACGGUUACAAGAGAGUUUAUCCAAAUGCCAGUCGUGGUGUUUACCUUUUGUUAACGAGUUCGUCUGUAUGUCUUUUGCGUACAACUUCCAUGUUGGCGUUCAUUGAUUUUUGGCGUAUCAAGGACUCCUUAGUUGUGUAGACCUCCUCACCUGUUCGCACAGAAAAUAUGGACUAGAACGUUACAAGUCCUACUGCUUCGACCUUCCACUAUAAUAGACAUACUACGCUUUUUCUCAGUAACUCUACUGGACGUGGUAACCUUUUUCGUAGCUACACAUGAAGUUACUACUUAACUAUGGUCUCUACUGUAAAGAGUUCAUACAGCUCGUGAUGUAACCGCGACCACGCCUUCGUCUUCUCUUUGUAGGUUCCCACAUACUCUCAACCACUUACCCUCUAAACAGACUGGGAAUCACUACCGCUCAAGUUGGUUCAAUCGAAGUGCUUGCCUGUAAGUUGAAACCCACCUUCGGUACACCUGACGCAUCGUCUGGUCCAAUAUCGUAUACAGUACUCCUUGUAACUCCUUUCACCGUUCGUCUCUCUUUAGUGCGUACUUUUACAGUUCUCGACCGACACCAAUAAAGAGUUACACUGUCUACUUUUACGAUGUAAACUGAAUGGGACGUUUCUUUGACACUGUUUGUCGUUUCACAAAUGAACGUUCGAUAGUCUACUCAAGGAAGUUUUUAAAUAACUCAAACCUUAGUAGUUAUAUGAUACAGGGUACCCACUAGGCUGGUAGCUUAGUCUAAAUAGACUAAGUCUACAUUGACCUUAAGGCUUUAACCUACUACACUUCAAACGACCACCAUGUUUUCGAUCCUUCACGUGGAACUAAGAAUGGCUUCCUCUAAGUCGUUUCAAUGAACACUACUUACGGGACCCAUGAUAACCUGCCCUAAUGAUACCGCACAUAGGUAACUUACCUUUUUAGUACUUACACUUACCUGCAUGUGGUCGGGUUCAUACCCUUUCGAGAUUUCAAGUUUGAUAUUACGCCUAUUACCCAGACUUUAAACUUGCGUUCAUGUCACAACAACUACCGAACGCCAUACCGGCAUAUUACUAAUACUACCUAGUCCUGCAACUGCCAAGAGUGUAGUUUCCGAAUUAGUAGUUAAAUAAGGAACUUACAACCGGAAGAAACGAGUUUCAACUUCCCAAAAAUGUCGUCAAAUAGUGAGGUUAGUAGUCUGAAAGGGCAUUAUCACUUUCAUAAAAAAAGAUGAGUUACUAGCUCAUAUUUGACACCUUACUCUCCGUGCUUCCUCUCCGACCAUUGACCUGUCACUUUAUAAUAUUCCCAAAUCCUUGUUCGUGGUGACGACUGCGACGAUUCAUAAAAGCUGUGUACGCGUUUGUGUGUGCUUUGAAGUAAACCGCACCACACCUUCUGUCAUGAUCAUAUUUCAAUCGUAAACUAUCCUUCAGUCGUCGGAAUUCUUUUCUUACCUACUUUUAACCCAAGCUCAAAGUCAUAGUGUACCUAAUGUGAGUUCUUACGUAAUCAAUAUCACUGAAGUAUUUAUUACUCUACGCCGACAUGAGAUAUCGUUUAGAACUCGCCAGUUGUGGUAGCCACUACCUACCGAAAUUCGGACAGGUUUCCUUCUAAUACGUAAGGACGAACUUCUCUUGGAAUUUUCUUCAAUUCCAGUCAAAAGGACGGACGUUAGAGACAAAGGGACGGACUGUUCGAUUCCGCAGACUAAACCAGACUCCGCACGUUCCGCCGCGAUUCCGCCUGCGAAGUCUGCGGAAUGUCGGAUUCCGCCUGCGGAAUGCGUUGACAGAUUCCGUUCCGGCUGCGGGACUCGGACCUCCCGCGGGACUGCGGAAUGCCUGCGGAAUUUUUGUAUCCAAUGUUCUAAGCCGUAUAAACUUACCUCUAGUUUCAGACGGUGGUUGUUAAUAUCCGUACCGGGUUCUGAAACACCCUUGGUUAUUAUAGUUGGAAAACGUCGGGUUCCCGGUUAUACCGUGUUCUUCGUUCCCGUCCUUUGUAAGGCGAUUCUCAUCCAUACAAAGGUGCCCAAACAGUCUAUACUGUCUCUUUCACAAGGGUUUUCUUCUACUCCAGGUAGAAUUAAUAAACUUUGUCUUACCUUUACUUCACCUUGGACUCACCAUACAAGGUUAUCAUGGAUACUAGAACUAGUUACCUACAAGCCCGCAACCAUGACCAACCUUCUGGAGACAGGGCUACAUAUUAGGUGAGCUACAACGGUUACAAUACUCUGUCAAUUAUUUACUAGGAAAAAACCUUUUUUACACCUCGGGUAACCAAGGAACCAUGUCCCCUAAGUUCCCGUGUUAACUGUCCCGACUCUCUCUACUAAAUAAAUAGUCGUCACCACAAUAUGUUUUCCAACUAUUAUGUAAAUCUUAAUGGCUCGACGGAUAACCGAUGUGGUAACGUCCAAUAUUUUUUUAGGAAGUUAGAUACAACUUGUUAUUCCUGUUCCAGCUACGUUUCUUUGGCCCGCUGUAUUAUUAACUCUUUUAUAGACAACUACCUCUACGUUUCUUACACCUAUAAUGUCAUUGGAAUUGACUCCUCUUAUACGUCUUCUGACUACCAGUACUGGGAGACUAUAAUAAGUUCGACUGCUGUUUGUAAACCUGAUUAUUAUACGUGAAUAUAUUGUCACUACCGUUCAAAUGAAUAAUACGUUGGGGUGAUUUCUAUCGGGUUCUUAAGAUGUUCCAGUCCAAAAGGGUGAUACUUUUUGCCUUCCUCCGUUAACAGUUCUCUGAAUACUACGUCUAUUUCGUUGUUCUUUUGUUUUAAUUUAAAUAGUUGCCAAAAGUCUCACCACUUAUGUAUGAUUGACCGUUCUUUUUACUUCUAGUUUACAACCUUAAAGAAUUUCUCUUGCCUAAACUUCGUUAGGGUCUUCUCCCUCUACGGCAACCAAAAUUCAUAGAAAGAAGAGACGUUUAAUCGGUCAAUUGACUAGUCAUGCAAAGACUCGAACAUAGUCUUUACGUAUGAUACCUUCGACUCAUACUUCGGUAUCGUUAUUUUGUUGGUUCACUUGAUACCAACCGACUAGAACUCUUGAAACUCUUCCGACAAUUCCUCAAUAUACGCCGGUUCCUUCUAUGGCUUUUUCGUUAUUGACUACGACUAAAUCUUUUCCGACCAUUUCUUUGUUAUUAGUUCUUUUUUACAUUUUGUUGUCGACUACGGUUACGUAGCCGUUACCUACAACUACCGUUCCUGCAGGAACUUGAUCUGGGAGAGAGACCUCCGGGGUACAGGGGUCUUGUAGCACUUAACCUCUCGCUUCCCUUGUGGUUUGCCUUCGUUGGUUUCUUCCUAGCCGCCUCUUUCUCUUUUUUUGUUUUCUUCUUACACAGUUGAAUAGAACCGAUUCAUGUACGUACUGUAUACCAAAAUGAAAUGGCUCACAAUCUCGAGUAGAACGAGCAAUGUAACUCCUCACGUUCCACUUAACAUACCACAAGACAAAUCGGUACCAGCCCACUCGUCGUUUAAGGUACCAAGAAGAAUCCUUGCUAACCAUAACUAAUACCAGAAGCAGUAGCACUAUGUUACUGGCAAUCCGAACUCGUGAUACUUUGGAACUAACCACAACUAAAGAUAGUCCACCUCUAUACAGGGGGAAAUGGGACACAACGUGUACUCCUAAACUCGCUGAGACUCUUCCUUGAACAACCGUGAAAAAAAAUGUGAGCACCACAGCUAGAGUUAAUAGUCGUUUACAUAAAGUACAGCGUUGUUAAGAAACUACUGUUGAUGUAUGAGACAACAGGAAAACAAGUGUACUAAUUAAGGCACUUACAAUUACCAGUAGUAUACCAAUAAGGAUCGUACCAACAGUCCUCAAACUUCUUCAAACACAGUAAAGGAUCCCGGCUGCAAAAUUGAGAACUUCAAUGAAAUCUAAGAAUGCUACUACUAUAUAUACACUCGUAAGGAACAAGCAUGAAGUAACCGAACCCACCAUCUUACCACAAGUUCUUCGUUCCCAAGUCACUAAAAGAAGUCCGUAGCAGAUAAUUUCAUUUGUUGAACCUAGAGUAUUGGAAGUUCCUCGCACUACCCUCCUCCUCAGCUACUAACGGACGCGAAGAUCGGGGAGCUUCUAGGGAACAGAAACAAGAAUGUACCAGCCUCGGCAAGAAAGUUACCACCAACCUCUUCCUCCUCAGCUACUAACGAUGACGUUCCGGUCGGUACCUCAGGGAAAGAGGUGGUGGGAACUAUGUCUUGACGGAGACCUACGACUGCACCACGAGCAGACUUUAAGACUAGGUACGUGCCCGUUCGUACUAGAACAGCGAGGACCACAGCUGCGAUCGCUUUCAAUAGCGAAACGCAACGUCCUUGAGUUGGUUGCGAACCGUCGCGAGCCUGGACGUUAUCACCAUGUGCUCCUGUACGAGCGCGUACCGUUCAACGUACUGUCGCUGGGGAGCCGCAGACAUUGAUGAGAAUGCACACAUGAGCUCCAGCUCCGGCUGUUUGAACAAGAAGAGGAGGAAAUCGGUAAGGAGCAUGUAAAACUACUAAGCGAGGUCAGAAACCCAGCAACCACAUGUGGUGGAGGUCGUGUCAACACGGUACCCAUCACUGCACAAGCCACACACAACAAUCAAAGAGCAGCAGGUACCGACGUCCCUCCGCCACACCCAAAAACCGCCGGCUGCUCCUUACCGCCUCCUUCUUCUCCGUUUACCUACACCACAUUUACUUUAACCUACCAAAGAAACAUUACAUCUUUUUCAUUGGCUGCUCUCGUCAACCCUGCAGUAGGCUGCCAAGGUCCUCAAUGCCUUUGUCCGCAGACAAUCUCGUUAAAAAAAUCGCCAAGCUCGUUAUAUGAAAAAUGGCGUUACUGUAGGGAGCGAGUCACACGCACAGAUACGCACCAGAACAAUAAAAGUUCGACGUCAAAAAAACAACUUACUUUACAAAAAACCCAGUGUACCACGGAGAUAUAAGCUCAACAAAGUCUUCUACGAGAAAGAACCAAAUACUUCCAUCAGCUCAGUACCACCUUGUACGUUGUCACAGUGCCAGCACGGAAUGACUUACUACGUGACAACAAUACAAUAACCCACGUGCGAACAUAUAACUUUUUAUCAGCUACUUGUUUUGUAUCACG
Molecule: ribosomal RNA, 7421 nt
Filed under: Triticum aestivum (bread wheat)
Lineage: Eukaryota; Viridiplantae; Streptophyta; Magnoliopsida; Poales; Poaceae
Description: partial small subunit ribosomal RNA
Source: RNAcentral